GAUGAACGCUAGCGGGAGGCCUAACACAUGCAAGCCGAGCGGUAUUUGUUCUUCGGAACAGAGAGAGCGGCGCACGGGUGCGGAACACGUGUGCAACCUGCCUUUAUCUGGGGGAUAGCCUUUCGAAAGGAAGAUUAAUACCCCAUAAUAUAUUGAGUGGCAUCAUUUGAUAUUGAAAACUCCGGUGGAUAGAGAUGGGCACGCGCAAGAUUAGAUAGUUGAUGAGGUAACGGCUCACCAAGUCAAUGAUCUUUAGGGGGCCUGAGAGGGUGAUCCCCCACACUGGUACUGAGACACGGACCAGACUCCUACGGGAGGCAGCAGUGAGGAAUAUUGAACAAUGGGUUAGCGCCUGAUCCAGCCAUCCCGCGUGAAGGACGACGGCCCUAUGGGUUGUAAACUUCUUCUGUAUAGGGAUAAACCUACUCUCGUGAGAGUAGCUGAAGGUACUAUACGAAUAAGCACCGGCUAACUCCGUG
This 479-nucleotide ribosomal RNA is filed under the name uncultured bacterium. Its description in RNAcentral is "partial 16S ribosomal RNA". It matches the Rfam family "Bacterial small subunit ribosomal RNA", at positions 28 to 507 of the family's 1533-position model. The record is from RNAcentral.